This 253-nucleotide ribosomal RNA is filed under the name uncultured prokaryote. RNAcentral's name for it is "partial 16S ribosomal RNA". It matches the Rfam family "Bacterial small subunit ribosomal RNA", at positions 524 to 776 of the family's 1533-position model. The record is from RNAcentral.
UACAGAGGGUGCAAGCGUUGUUCGGAAUUAUUGGGCGUAAAGGGUGCGUAGGCGGGCAGGUAAGUCAGUGGUGAAAUCUUUGGGCUUAACCCGAAAACUGCCAUUGAUACUAUCUGUCUUGAAUAUUGUGGAGGCCAGCGGAAUAUGUCAUGUAGCGGUGAAAUGCUUAGAUAUGACAUAGAACACCUAUUGCGAAGGCAGCUGGCUACGCAUAUAUUGACGCUGAGGCACGAAAGCGUGGGGAUCAAACAGG